UCAGAAAUAGUUUAAUUAAAAUAUUAAUUUUGGAGAUUAAUGAUAAAAUUUAUUUUUUUUUCUGAA
Molecule: transfer RNA, 66 nt
Filed under: Pselaphinae sp. 5 EF-2015
Lineage: Eukaryota; Metazoa; Arthropoda; Insecta; Coleoptera; Staphylinidae
Description: tRNA-Pro
Source: RNAcentral